CAGCCGUAAACUAUGCUCGCUAGGUGUCAGGCAUGGCGCGACCGUGUCUGGUGCCGCAGGGAAGCCGUGAAGCGAGCCACCUGGGAAGUACGGCCGCAAGGCUGAAACUUAAAGGAAUUGGCGGGGGGAGCACAACAACGGGUGGAGCCUGCGGUUUAAUUGGACUCAACGCCGGACAACUCACCGGGGACGACAGCAAUAUGUAGGCCAGGCUGAAGACCUUGCCUGAAUCGCUGAGAGGAGGUGCAUGGCGUAGACGU
This 260-nucleotide ribosomal RNA is filed under the name uncultured archaeon. RNAcentral describes it as "partial 16S ribosomal RNA". It matches the Rfam family "Archaeal small subunit ribosomal RNA", at positions 748 to 1007 of the family's 1478-position model. The record is from RNAcentral.